This is an RNA transcript of Pyrus x bretschneideri (Chinese white pear), 1410 nucleotides long. It is a transcript of the gene named vacuolar protein sorting-associated protein 25-like, with no coding region annotated. The transcript is spliced from 4 exons. The record is from RefSeq and is a predicted model, not a curated record. NCBI's taxonomy places the organism in Eukaryota, Viridiplantae, Streptophyta, Magnoliopsida, Rosales, Rosaceae.
AUUUCCUUUUUAUUAAACAAAAUAUAAUACAAAAAUACACACUGGCGGCUGGAGCUCUGCUCCUUCUUCCUCUUCAUUACGUGACUCCGUCUUCCAUUGUUGAAUGCUAGCUACAGGUUAAGAUCAAAUCGGACCUUAUCAUCUCCUUCACCAGUAAACCGGACCCUAUCAUCUCCUCUACCAGUAAACCACCAACUCUGACCGUCCUUCGCCACAGUCAAGCUUCCGCCCUCCGAUCGCCGCCAAGAGAGUAUCAGAUGCAGAAAUUGGGAGAUUUCAAGCUUCCCCAAUUCUUCAAUUACCCUCCAUACUUCACACUCCAACCCGUCAGAGAGACCCGCAAGAAGCAGAUACAGCUAUGGAAUGACCUCAUCCUCGACUACUGCAAAACCCAUAGCAUCUUCGUGAUCGGAUUGGAAGACCAAGACUUUCCGCUCUUCUCAAACCCCGCGAUCGAGCGAUCUCUCACCCACGAAGCCCGGGAAGCCUUUCUCUCGACGUUGGUGGCGCAGGGCCGAGCGGAGUGGCUGGAUAAGGGCCGCCGGAAGUGCCUUGUGCUGUGGCAUCGGAUUCAGGACUGGGCUAAUAUUGUCCUAGACUUCGUCAAGGACAAUGGGUUGAAGGAUAGUGUGAUGACGGUUGAGGAAAUCCGAUCUGGGAUUGAGUCUAGGGGGACGGAGCUUCAUGGGAUUGAUCGGACGGUUCUGAUGAGGGCUUUGAAACUGCUGGAGCAGAAAGGGAAGCUUGCAAUCUUCAAGGGGACUACGGCGGAUGACGAGGGCGUGAAGUUUUCCAUUUGAUUUUGAUUAUGGUUUUAUAUCAGUUUUUCGAUUAUAAAUGCAUCAAAGCAUGAACUUUGGAUUCUACUUUUUAUCUGCAUCAGCAGUUUGGUGGGCGUUGUUUCCUUCCCUGCAGAUUUAGAGGAUCAGUAUGAGAAGUUCGACUCAGCAGCAUACUGAAAGGUCAGGUUUAAAGAAGGCCUUCCAUUGAUCUUCCAUACAUGGUCCCGCUUGUGAUUAACUUGCCUUGUUCAUGCAAAACCAUAAAAGCCAAGAUGCCUCGCAAAGAGUUGGCGGAUGGGUUAGGUGAAUGAGAUGACCGUACGUGUAGUCACGUUGCAUGAUCCCAACCCGAAGGCUUCAUAGGGUGCUGAGAAGAUGGUAUUCCUUGCUUGUGUACCAUUCAUCCCCAGCAGCUCCAUUGCUUUGUUUGUGAACUUGAAGCCGAACAAAUUGCACAUUGUAAGGCAUUUUCGUUUGCGCCGUUCCAGCUUUGCAAUAAACUAUAAGCUUGAUAUUAAGUUGGGAGCGUAUCUCUAAAGACUCUACAAACAUAUAAAUGGUCUAACAAAAGGAUGUGCUUAAAUGUAAAACUUGCGUGAUUUUGAGUAUGAGUUGUCUUCAAAUGUCA